Molecule: ribosomal RNA, 253 nt
Filed under: uncultured bacterium
Lineage: Bacteria
Description: partial 16S ribosomal RNA
Rfam family: Bacterial small subunit ribosomal RNA
Source: RNAcentral
UACGUAGGGGGCAAGCGUUGUCCGGAUUUAUUGGGCGUAAAGAGCGUGUAGGCGGCCAUGCAGGUCCGUUGUGAAAACUCGAGGCUCAACCUCGAGACGCCGGUGGAAACCGUGUGGCUAGAGUCCGGAAGAGGAGAGUGGAAUUCCUGGUGUAGCGGUGAAAUGUGUAGAGAUCGGGAGGAACACCGGUGGCGAAGGCGGGUCUCUGGGCAUUUCCUGACGCUGAGGCGCGAAAGCGUGGGGAGCAAACGGG